CAUCGAAAACUCAAGUACUGAUGGAGGUUAGGGAGCAGCUACCAUGGUCGGAAAGGAUGUGCACACACCUCGAAAAAUGCAAUUCUAACAAGUUCUGCCUCUAUCAUCAUGACUACGGCCACGACACGGAGGAGUGCAUUCAGCUCUGAGAUGAGAUCGAGGAGCUCAUCAGAUGAGAUCGAUUCGACAGAUUCAUUCGAUGUCGACCUGAAGGUAGGAA
RNAcentral lists this long non-coding RNA (220 nucleotides) under Elaeis guineensis (African oil palm). RNAcentral describes it as "long non-coding RNA (EGUI_LNC062816)". Lineage: Eukaryota; Viridiplantae; Streptophyta; Magnoliopsida; Arecales; Arecaceae. The record is from RNAcentral.